Molecule: ribosomal RNA, 510 nt
Filed under: uncultured euryarchaeote
Lineage: Archaea; Methanobacteriati; Methanobacteriota
Description: bacterial SSU rRNA
Rfam family: Archaeal small subunit ribosomal RNA
Source: RNAcentral
AAACUUUACAAUGCGGGCAACCGUGAUAAGGAAACCCCGAGUGCCAGCACAGGCUGGCUGUCCACCAGUGUAAAAAACUGGUGAAGAAAGGGCCGGGCAAGACCGGUGCCAGCCGCCGCGGUAAUACCGGCGGCUCGAGUGGUGGCCGCUUUUACUGGGCUUAAAGGGUCCGUAGCUGGAUCUGCAAGUCCCUUGAGAAAUCCAUCGGCUUAACUGAUGGGCGUUCAGGGGAUACUGUGGUUCUAGGGACCGGGAGAGGUGAGAGGUACUGCCGGGGUAGGAGUGAAAUCCUGUAAUCCCGGUGGGACGACCUAUGGCGAAGGCAUCUCACCAGAACGGCUCCGACAGUGAGGGACGAAAGCUGGGGGAGCAAACCGGAUUAGAUACCCGGGUAGUCCCAGCUGUAAACGAUGCGCGUUAGGUGUGUCAGUGACCACGUGUCACUGAGGUGCCGAAGGGAAACCGUGAAACGCGCCGCCUGGGGAGUACGGUCGCAAGGCUGAAACUUAA